UUCAGGGUAAACUUUGUCUUCAUCAAAGAAUGGACAGUAGCCAGGUCCAGUGGCUCAGGCUGUAAUCCAGCACUUUGAGAGGUGGAGUUGGGAAGAUCCCUUGAGGCCCGGAGUUACAGACCAGCCUGGUCAAUAUAGUGGGACCCCAUCUCUUAAAAAAAAAAUAAAGAAAGAGAAAGGAAGGAGGGGAGGGGAGUGGAGGGGAGGGGAGGGGAGGCGAAAGGGAAGGGGGAAGUGUGGAGGGAUGGAGGGGGAAGGGGGAGGGAGGGAGGAAGGAAGAAAGGAAGGAGUUACAGUUACAGUUUGAAUGGAGGGAUGCCUCACUGUUGCCCCACAUGUGUUGCUGGGGCUUGCACCCCUUUGUU
Molecule: long non-coding RNA, 365 nt
Filed under: Homo sapiens (human)
Lineage: Eukaryota; Metazoa; Chordata; Mammalia; Primates; Hominidae
Description: non-protein coding lnc-MLNR-1:1
Source: RNAcentral